UAAGCGACUAAGCGUACACGGUGGAUGCCCUGGCAGUCAGAGGCGAUGAAGGACGUGCUAAUCUGCGAUAAGCGUCGGUAAGGUGAUAUGAACCGUUAUAACCGGCGAUUUCCGAAUGGGGAAACCCAGUGUGAUUCGUCACACUAUCAUUAACUGAAUCCAUAGGUUAAUGAGGCGAACCGGGGGAACUGAAACAUCUAAGUACCCCGAGGAAAAGAAAUCAACCGAGAUUCCCCCAGUAGCGGCGAGCGAACGGGGAGCAGCCCAGAGCCUGAAUCAGUGUGUGUGUUAGUGGAAGCGUCUGGAAAGGCGCGCGAUACAGGGUGACAGCCCCGUACACAAAAAUGCACAUGCUGUGAGCUCGAUGAGUAGGGCGGGACACGUGGUAUCCUGUCUGAAUAUGGGGGGACCAUCCUCCAAGGCUAAAUACUCCUGACUGACCGAUAGUGAACCAGUACCGUGAGGGAAAGGCGAAAAGAACCCCGGCGAGGGGAGUGAAAAAGAACCUGAAACCGUGUACGUACAAGCAGUGGGAGCACGCUUAGGCGUGUGACUGCGUACCUUUUGUAUAAUGGGUCAGCGACUUAUAUUCUGUAGCAAGGUUAACCGAAUAGGGGAGCCGAAGGGAAACCGAGUCUUAACUGGGCGUUAAGUUGCAGGGUAUAGACCCGAAACCCGGUGAUCUAGCCAUGGGCAGGUUGAAGGUUGGGUAACACUAACUGGAGGACCGAACCGACUAAUGUUGAAAAAUUAGCGGAUGACUUGUGGCUGGGGGUGAAAGGCCAAUCAAACCGGGAGAUAGCUGGUUCUCCCCGAAAGCUAUUUAGGUAGCGCCUCGUGAACUCAUCUCCGGGGGUAGAGCACUGUUUCGGCAAGGGGGUCAUCCCGACUUACCAACCCGAUGCAAACUGCGAAUACCGGAGAAUGUUAUCACGGGAGACACACGGCGGGUGCUAACGUCCGUCGUGAAGAGGGAAACAACCCAGACCGCCAGCUAAGGUCCCAAAGUCAUGGUUAAGUGGGAAACGAUGUGGGAAGGCCCAGACAGCCAGGAUGUUGGCUUAGAAGCAGCCAUCAUUUAAAGAAAGCGUAAUAGCUCACUGGUCGAGUCGGCCUGCGCGGAAGAUGUAACGGGGCUAAACCAUGCACCGAAGCUGCGGCAGCGACGCUUAUGCGUUGUUGGGUAGGGGAGCGUUCUGUAAGCCUGUGAAGGUGUACUGUGAGGUAUGCUGGAGGUAUCAGAAGUGCGAAUGCUGACAUAAGUAACGAUAAAGCGGGUGAAAAGCCCGCUCGCCGGAAGACCAAGGGUUCCUGUCCAACGUUAAUCGGGGCAGGGUGAGUCGACCCCUAAGGCGAGGCCGAAAGGCGUAGUCGAUGGGAAACAGGUUAAUAUUCCUGUACUUGGUGUUACUGCGAAGGGGGGACGGAGAAGGCUAUGUUGGCCGGGCGACGGUUGUCCCGGUUUAAGCGUGUAGGCUGGUUUUCCAGGCAAAUCCGGAAAAUCAAGGCUGAGGCGUGAUGACGAGGCACUACGGUGCUGAAGCAACAAAUGCCCUGCUUCCAGGAAAAGCCUCUAAGCAUCAGGUAACAUCAAAUCGUACCCCAAACCGACACAGGUGGUCAGGUAGAGAAUACCAAGGCGCUUGAGAGAACUCGGGUGAAGGAACUAGGCAAAAUGGUGCCGUAACUUCGGGAGAAGGCACGCUGAUAUGUAGGUGAAGCGACUUGCUCGUGGAGCUGAAAUCAGUCGAAGAUACCAGCUGGCUGCAACUGUUUAUUAAAAACACAGCACUGUGCAAACACGAAAGUGGACGUAUACGGUGUGACGCCUGCCCGGUGCCGGAAGGUUAAUUGAUGGGGUCAGCGCAAGCGAAGCUCUUGAUCGAAGCCCCGGUAAACGGCGGCCGUAACUAUAACGGUCCUAAGGUAGCGAAAUUCCUUGUCGGGUAAGUUCCGACCUGCACGAAUGGCGUAAUGAUGGCCAGGCUGUCUCCACCCGAGACUCAGUGAAAUUGAACUCGCUGUGAAGAUGCAGUGUACCCGCGGCAAGACGGAAAGACCCCGUGAACCUUUACUAUAGCUUGACACUGAACAUUGAGCCUUGAUGUGUAGGAUAGGUGGGAGGCUUUGAAGUGUGGACGCCAGUCUGCAUGGAGCCGACCUUGAAAUACCACCCUUUAAUGUUUGAUGUUCUAACGUUGACCCGUAAUCCGGGUUGCGGACAGUGUCUGGUGGGUAGUUUGACUGGGGCGGUCUCCUCCUAAAGAGUAACGGAGGAGCACGAAGGUUGGCUAAUCCUGGUCGGACAUCAGGAGGUUAGUGCAAUGGCAUAAGCCAGCUUGACUGCGAGCGUGACGGCGCGAGCAGGUGCGAAAGCAGGUCAUAGUGAUCCGGUGGUUCUGAAUGGAAGGGCCAUCGCUCAACGGAUAAAAGGUACUCCGGGGAUAACAGGCUGAUACCGCCCAAGAGUUCAUAUCGACGGCGGUGUUUGGCACCUCGAUGUCGGCUCAUCACAUCCUGGGGCUGAAGUAGGUCCCAAGGGUAUGGCUGUUCGCCAUUUAAAGUGGUACGCGAGCUGGGUUUAGAACGUCGUGAGACAGUUCGGUCCCUAUCUGCCGUGGGCGCUGGAGAACUGAGGGGGGCUGCUCCUAGUACGAGAGGACCGGAGUGGACGCAUCACUGGUGUUCGGGUUGUCAUGCCAAUGGCACUGCCCGGUAGCUAAAUGCGGAAGAGAUAAGUGCUGAAAGCAUCUAAGCACGAAACUUGCCCCGAGAUGAGUUCUCCCUGACCCUUUAAGGGUCCUGAAGGAACGUUGAAGACGACGACGUUGAUAGGCCGGGUGUGUAAGCGCAGCGAUGCGUUGAGCUAACCGGUACUAAUGAACCGUGAGGCUUAACCU
RNAcentral lists this ribosomal RNA (2900 nucleotides) under Escherichia coli 3-475-03_S1_C1. RNAcentral describes it as "bacterial LSU rRNA". It matches the Rfam family "Bacterial large subunit ribosomal RNA". Lineage: Bacteria; Pseudomonadati; Pseudomonadota; Gammaproteobacteria; Enterobacterales; Enterobacteriaceae. The record is from RNAcentral.